UACGUAGGGUGCAAGCGUUGUCCGGAAUUAUUGGGCGUAAAGAGCUCGUAGGCGGUUUGUUGCGUCGGCUGUGAAAUCCCUCGGCUUAACCGGGGAACUGCGUCUGAUACUGGAUGGCUUGAGUUUGGGAGAGGGAUGCGGAAUUCCAGGUGUAGCGGUGAAAUGCGUAGAUAUCUGGAGGAACACCGGUGGCGAAGGCGGCAUCCUGGACCAACACUGACGCUGAGGAGCGAAAGCCAGGGGAGCAAACGGG
This 253-nucleotide ribosomal RNA is filed under the name uncultured bacterium. RNAcentral describes it as "partial 16S ribosomal RNA". It matches the Rfam family "Bacterial small subunit ribosomal RNA", at positions 524 to 776 of the family's 1533-position model. The record is from RNAcentral.